Molecule: long non-coding RNA, 2335 nt
Organism: Cyprinus carpio (common carp)
Lineage: Eukaryota; Metazoa; Chordata; Actinopteri; Cypriniformes; Cyprinidae
Exons: 3
Source: RefSeq, a predicted model, not a curated record
ACAUCGUCAGGAGCACAUGGAGCAUCAGCAGAAGAUGGAGACAAAGUGCAAGGAGGUAAAGGAGGCCAAAAGAGUGGUGGUACGAGAAAUGGAAGACCACAAGUCUCAGCUGGUGGCUGCAGAGAACAAACAAGACAGACUCCUCAAAGAACUGCAGAUGACCAAAGAAAAAGAGGCCAUCUUCAUGGAUCAAAUGUUGUUAUCUCAGAGUUUCUCGACAGAUUGAUUAGGAUUUACAUCAGAACUCUACUCUGACAAUACCCAAAAUGUUUCUAAGAUUAAAGACCCUUCAGAAACAGCCUUCAAAAGACCCUUUUGUAAAAUAUGUAAAUAAUACAUGAAAAAAGAGGCUAUGUUUUGGGGGUUGGAGGAAGAAAUCUGUUUGCAAAAAAGUUAUAUAGCUGUGUUAUAAGUCAAAUAAAGAAAUUUUUGAGUAAAUCUACAGGAUUGAUUGUUUUGGACUACAGGGUUCUGCUGGACAUCAACAUGGAGCAGAUUGUUGCUGAGUGCAAGUCUCUGCGUGAUUAACUAGCUCGAGAUACACGGCUGAAAGACAAGCUUGUGCGAGUCCUGAAGAGGAAUGAACUGCAGCUGAAACAGGCCAGAGACUCCUUUGCUAACACUCAACAGCAGCAUGAGAGGACCCAGGCUCAGAGAGAGACAGUCUCAGAUGGUGACUGCUUGUUGCAGAGAAGAAGAGAUCUGGAAAAACGCAGUUUGAUUAGCAAGGCUGGGUGUGUUUUCUAAACUGUAUGAAGUCACCAAGGGCAAGCGGAACAAAUACCUGAGCCUGAUCCACAUCUCAAACCAGAACCUGGCAGAGGUGCAAGAGAAGCUGGCCAAACUGGAAGAAAAUCUUAAGACACUGCAAUCGAUUGCUAUCAACAAAGACAAGUACUGUAGUUCUCACGUUAUACGUUAUACAGUACUUAUUUAUUUUUUUGCAUACUACAAUCUGACUACACCACACCAUAAAAUAAUAUUUGGUUAAUGUGCUUGGUUACACUCUGGGUGGCUGGAAAAGUCCAGUCUACAACACUCUCACAGCUACAAGCUCAGAGACAAUAUGAAGAAUGAGAUCACAAGGGUGUUACAGGUUCUGCAAGAAAUGUACCAGAAAUGAGAGGAGCAGAAAUUGAACCUCGGCAAACUCAUGGAGUCAAUCAACAUGCUAGAGCAAAAAAGUUGCAUAUGUGCAAGAGCUACGAGGCUGCCAUGCAAGAACGCACCCAGCGGUGGGAGAGUUAUAGAUGUUUGAGGUGAAUUCUUAUAGUCUGGGGUGGCAUUUGCACCAUAACUUUGUAUCUGUGUUUGUGUUGUCAAGGCUGUGCAGCUUGUAGAAAAAGAGCAGGAAUUGUAUAUUUUCUAUGAGAAGUUAAAUGGUGAUGGAAAUGAUCGAAGACAGCAACCUGAAGAUACAAAACAUGGAGGAUGAAAUCGGCAACCUGAAAACUGAUCAGAAAGACCAAGAAAGACAGAACAACCCACACAUGAAACAGUUCUCCAGUAAACUGGCACUAGAGGAAGAAAGCAUCUUAUUACAGAUACAGGUACCUCCAUCUAAAUUCAGAAACUAUUGUGCAACCUUUAUCUAAAACAAUAAUAAUAAUAAAAAAAAGUCAUACAGAGUGACUUCUCAGUGGGUCUUCCAGCUUUUGCAUUAGAUUGGGUGAAGCAGCCAAAGAGAUGAUCUGUAACAGAUACAUAAAUCAAAAAACAAUACUAUAAACUAUAUUGCAGUGGAAUGUAAGUAAAGGUUAGAUUGUAUAUAAUAUUCCAGGUGGCACACAUACUCACAGAUGUGCUCUUUUUACCAUUUAUAGUUCUUUCUAAGAGAUAAAAGUGAAAUAAACCAUCUUAGCAAGAAUCUACUUGAUAGUUUUAUACCACGCUGUGUUUAAUCAACAGAGUCUCUUCAUAUAAACAUCUACUGCAUCAGUGCAGAUAAAAUAAACAUUUAAAUAUUAGAUUGUGUUUCUAGUUCUCAUGCUUGCAGUAGGGCUUAAAGCCAGGGGUAAAAACAUAUUAUGUCCUCAGACACUGUGUGCAAUGCCAAACUAGUCCAAUGUUUUUCACUACAUUUACAUUUAUGUCACAUUUUCCACAUAAUACUGAUGUGGACAAACGCUUCCUGAAGUCCAACACAUUAUGGCUACACUGAAAAUAUCUGUACACUACCGUUCAAAAGUUUGCGGUCAGUAAGAUUGGUCAUUGAAUUGAUCAGUAGUGACAGUUAAGACUUGAAUAACUAUACCAUUUUUUUUUUUAACUCUAUUCAUCAAAUAAUUAAUGUAUAAUUGUUUCCACAAAAACAUUAAGCAUAUUCAGCUUUAUU